Molecule: ribosomal RNA, 452 nt
Filed under: uncultured bacterium
Lineage: Bacteria
Description: bacterial SSU rRNA
Rfam family: Bacterial small subunit ribosomal RNA
Source: RNAcentral
GAUGAACGCUGGCGGUAUGCCUAACACAUGCAAGUCGAACGAAAUCUUCGGAUUGAGUGGCGGACGGGUGAGUAACGCGUGAGAAUCUGCCUUCAGGAUGGGGACAACAGUUAGAAAUGACUGCUAAUACCCAAUGUGCCGCAAGGUGAAAGUUUUUCGCCUGAAGAGGAGCUCGCGUCCGAUUAGCUAGUUGGGGUGGUAAAAGCGCACCAAGGCAACGAUCGGUAGCUGGUCUGAGAGGAUGAGCAGCCACACUGGGACUGAGACACGGCCCAGACUCCUACGGGAGGCAGCAGUGGGGAAUUUUCCGCAAUGGGCGCAAGCCUGACGGAGCAAUACCGCGUGAGGGAGGAAGGCUUUUGGGUUGUAAACCUCUUUUCUCAAGGAAGAAGAACUGACGGUACUUGAGGAAUCAGCAUCGGCUAACUCCGUGCCAGCCGCCGCCGUAACAC